UACAGAGGAUGCAAGCGUUAUCCGGAAUGAUUGGGCGUAAAGCGUCUGUAGGUGGCUUUUUAAGUCCGCCGUCAAAUCCCAGGGCUCAACUCUGGACAGGCGGUGGAAACUACCAAGCUGGAGUACGGUAGGGGCAGAGGGAAUUUCCGGUGGAGCGGUGAAAUGCGCAGAGAUCGGAAAGAACACCCGUGGCGAAGGCGGCUCUCUGGGACGGUACUGACGCUGAGACGCGAAAGCGUGGGGAGCGAACAGG
This 253-nucleotide ribosomal RNA is filed under the name uncultured bacterium. RNAcentral describes it as "partial 16S ribosomal RNA". It matches the Rfam family "Bacterial small subunit ribosomal RNA", at positions 524 to 776 of the family's 1533-position model. The record is from RNAcentral.